RNAcentral lists this long non-coding RNA (529 nucleotides) under Vigna radiata. Its description in RNAcentral is "long non-coding RNA (VRAD_LNC006327)". The record is from RNAcentral. Lineage: Eukaryota; Viridiplantae; Streptophyta; Magnoliopsida; Fabales; Fabaceae.
AAAUAAUGAAUCUCUCUUUCUCCCAUUUCCUGCAUUGUGGUAUGUGAUUGAGACAGAGACACACAAUGACAAGGUCUAACGAUCAGUAAGCUACAACAUUAAGCUUUCACUUUCACACGUUGGACCCAAUCCAACUGCACACAUAACAUAAUCCAUUCAAUUUUUUUUUCUCUCCUUCGCUUCCGCCAUCGGAUGCCUCGCCGCUGAGCUGGACCGUUGAGUUUCCGAGAGAUCUUCGCCUCGGUUGCAUGCAUUCCUUGCGGCAGUGAUGAGAGGGAGCUGUUGCGGUUCGAACCGUCGGUAGAGCAGCGGUUCCCUUUACUCACGAUCUCCACUAUUAAAUCAGUCAAGAUCAAACUUCUCCUCUUUUGCUACGAUGCCCUCACGAUUCUCGCCUUCUCUACGAGUACUUCUUCCUUCGUCGUAUGGAACAACCAAACGCCUCUUUUUCUUCUUUUCAUCAUUUUCAUUUGACUCCUCAGGGUUUUCUUCUUCAGGCUUCUUAUGAUUCUGUCAAAGUCAUAUUUCC